This is a non-coding RNA of Jatropha curcas, 1519 nucleotides long. Lineage: Eukaryota; Viridiplantae; Streptophyta; Magnoliopsida; Malpighiales; Euphorbiaceae. The record is from RefSeq and is a predicted model, not a curated record.
GAAAGAGAGGGAGGGGGAAGGGAGAAAGGCGGCAAAUAUAGUCAGAAAAUAAAUAAAUAAAUAAAAAGCAGGAGAGGUCUGGCUAUUUCUGAAAACCUCCUUUUUGGGCAACAAUAAUAGCACAAAAUCUAUAAAAAAAUCCCAUAAACUCUCUAUUUAUUAGUGUUAUUAUACAUGUAUAAGCACAAAAGAGAGUCAAUCUGUUCUUCUCUAUUCCUGCAUAUAUACAAGCUUGCAAAAGCAUUACCCUCAGCAACAAGGUUAUGAGGUGGGAGUAGUGAUGGAGCAAAAUUGAACUAAAAGACAGAAAAGGAGAUCUGUGUAUCUGUGGUCAAACUGCUUCUCUAAAGGUUCCAAAGUACACUAAUCGUCUUGGCAAAUUCCAUAUCCAUGCUCUUGGAACAUUAAUUGGGUUGAGGCUCGAUUCAUGAUCUGCAAAUACCUGCAUGGCAAUACAAACAUCAAUCUAUAAAAUGCGUGGCUUCAAGUUCUGGUCCACAGAAGAUGGUCAAAUUGUUGGCCAAACUUUGUAUUGAGUUAUCAUGAUUGCAGGGCUGUCAGAGCCACAAGGUACCAUCCUUUUAAGGUGGCAGGUUCAAUGGGUGACCAAUUCCCCAAAAUAUAUUCUUGGCAAUGGAAAAUCUUGUUACACCAUUGAACAAGAUGUUGUUGGACCUUAUAGGGAGGGCCUUGAGAAUAUGCUACUCUUAAAUUUAGUUGGAAGGCAGUUAGCAAGCCAAUCUACAAAAGAGCUGGCUUAAUGCGUGAUAUUGAGCACAAAAUGUCAAUGGUAAUUACCUCAUUCACUUGAAAGUAUGUGCCAUUCAGUGGAAAGCUUCCCCGCAUUGCUGUUCUACAUGGUAUCUGCAUGUGAAGUUCAGUAUGCAAAUAUAGUAGUCAUUUUUUCUCAGUUUUGCUUCAAGUUUCACCUAGUAAUCAAAUAUCAGUUAGCAAUUAUACAAGAUGGUGAGGACAUUCUUUAUGCAAGGUUGGAGCAUGCACUAGACUUGUCAUUGAUCCAUGAUAAAUUUCAGACCAUUUGUCUAGCUCUAUUUGGGUCACUCUUGCUAGCAUAUUACAUGUGCUAUUCACCUGGUGUCCAUAUUGCCAGAAGGUAUGGACUGGGAUCGUCACGCUCUCUUUUAUCCAUCUGCAAAUUUUGCAACUCACCAUUAAAAGAAAGUGAUUGAAGGAGAAUUGAGGAUGUCAAAUGAUAAAGGGGAAACUAACCCCUUUCAAGAGAGGAUGUGAAUCUGGAAGUUCAUACCUGCAUCACAAGAGAUAUGUUAGAGUGCAUGAUUCAGGACUUGUCCUUUCCAGCAUGGUUUAAUUUGAAACUUUUUACCAUUUUUUCCCUAGUAAGCAAUUUGAGAAUAUUGCUACUAGGUGAUAUGUAUGUAAAGUUGAUCGUAUGAUUGUGAUGAGUUGUGCAAACUAUCUGACUUGACUCUCUCAAGCUGUAUGCAGUCAUUCUUUUGUGAUUGCUUAUUUAGAUAAGGGAAGACUUUCACUUACACUU